RNAcentral lists this ribosomal RNA (467 nucleotides) under uncultured bacterium. RNAcentral describes it as "partial 16S ribosomal RNA". It matches the Rfam family "Bacterial small subunit ribosomal RNA", at positions 28 to 507 of the family's 1533-position model. The record is from RNAcentral.
GACGAACGCUGGCGGCGUGCUUAACACAUGCAAGUCGAACGGAAAGGCCCUGCUUUUGUGGGGUGCUCGAGUGGCGAACGGGUGAGUAACACGUGAGUAACCUGCCCUUGACUUUGGGAUAACUUCAGGAAACUGGGGCUAAUACCGGAUAGGAGCUCCUGCUGCAUGGUGGGGGUUGGAAAGUUUCGGCGGUUGGGGAUGGACUCGCGGCUUAUCAGCUUGUUGGUGGGGUAGUGGCUUACCAAGGCUUUGACGGGUAGCCGGCCUGAGAGGGUGACCGGCCACAUUGGGACUGAGAUACGGCCCAGACUCCUACGGGAGGCAACAGUGGGGAAUAUGGCACAAUGGGCGGAAGCCUGAUGCAGCAACGCCGCGUGCGGGAUGACGGCCUUCGGGUUGUAACCGCUUUCGCCUGUGACGAAGCGUGAGUGACGGUAAUGGGUAAAGAAGCACCGGCUAACUACGUG